GGGGAGUCUGGAGGGGGCGGCCCCAAGGGGUUUGUGGGAACUCCGGUGUGCUGUGCGCUCAAAUUUUCGGUGAGCCUGACGCUGCUCUCUCUCACACACAAAAACCAAUCAGUUAAAAGCAGCAUCGAAAGUGGUGGCAGUUGAAUGAUAAAACUUCUCUGGAUAACGAGUUAAACUAGAAUAGAGCGCCAAGCUGUCUUUUUUCCCUUGGAACGGUACUUAGGAAGGUGGAUGGGAACACUGUGUAUUUCUUCCCAAGACAGACACAGCAGGGGCAGACUCCACGGUGAAACCUGCUCACCAUUGGUGCUGCGAGUUCCCUAAGACUGCUGGAACAGAUAAGGAUGAAGUAACCCUCUGAAACUGUAAGCGAGCCCCCAACAAGAUUCUUUGGUCAUCAUGGCGUCUCUUUAUGGCAACUGAACCCUGACUAAGACACCCCGGCAAAGGUGUGGAGGCGGGGGAUCCCAGUGGUUUGCUGGCCAGCCGGUGCUUCGAGCUAAGGGAGCGACACUGUCUCAACAAAAGCAAAGUGCAUCAUGGGUAAAACUGGCUCAGAGGGGCAAGAUCUUGCUGCCUUGCCCGAGAACACCUGGUCAGCAAAGGGGAAACUGACUUCUCAAAGUUGUCCUGAUUAUCGCACUAGAGCUCGGGCAUGACCCUCGCCAGCAAAGGCGCCACGCAUUUUUAACAUAAAACUAAUGUGAUGGUGAGUGACGGAAGUCACUGAAUGUUG
Rattus norvegicus (Norway rat) is the source of this 736-nucleotide non-coding RNA. Lineage: Eukaryota; Metazoa; Chordata; Mammalia; Rodentia; Muridae. The record is from RefSeq and is a predicted model, not a curated record.